RNAcentral lists this ribosomal RNA (935 nucleotides) under uncultured Lactobacillus sp. RNAcentral's name for it is "bacterial SSU rRNA". It matches the Rfam family "Bacterial small subunit ribosomal RNA", at positions 53 to 951 of the family's 1533-position model. The record is from RNAcentral. Lineage: Bacteria; Bacillati; Bacillota; Bacilli; Lactobacillales; Lactobacillaceae.
ACAUGCAAGUCGAACGAGUUCUGAUUAUUGAAAGGUGCUUGCAUCUUGAUUUAAUUUUGAACGAGUGGCGGACGGGUGAGUAACACGUGGGUAACCUGCCCUUAAGUGGGGGAUAACAUUUGGAAACAGAUGCUAAUACCGCAUAAAUCCAAGAACCGCAUGGUUCUUGGCUGAAAGAUGGCGUAAGCUAUCGCUUUUGGAUGGACCCGCGGCGUAUUAGCUAGUUGGUGAGGUAACGGCUCACCAAGGCAAUGAUACGUAGCCGAACUGAGAGGUUGAUCGGCCACAUUGGGACUGAGACACGGCCCAAACUCCUACGGGAGGCAGCAGUAGGGAAUCUUCCACAAUGGACGCAAGUCUGAUGGAGCAACGCCGCGUGAGUGAAGAAGGCUUUCGGGUCGUAAAACUCUGUUGUUGGAGAAGAAUGGUCGGCAGAGUAACUGUUGUCGGCGUGACGGUAUCCAACCAGAAAGCCACGGCUAACUACGUGCCAGCAGCCGCGGUAAUACGUAGGUGGCAAGCGUUAUCCGGAUUUAUUGGGCGUAAAGCGAGCGCAGGCGGUUUUUUAAGUCUGAUGUGAAAGCCCUCGGCUUAACCGAGGAAGUGCAUCGGAAACUGGGAAACUUGAGUGCAGAAGAGGACAGUGGAACUCCAUGUGUAGCGGUGAAAUGCGUAGAUAUAUGGAAGAACACCAGUGGCGAAGGCGGCUGUCUGGUCUGUAACUGACGCUGAGGCUCGAAAGCAUGGGUAGCGAACAGGAUUAGAUACCCUGGUAGUCCAUGCCGUAAACGAUGAAUGCUAGGUGUUGGAGGGUUUCCGCCCUUCAGUGCCGCAGCUAACGCAUUAAGCAUUCCGCCUGGGGAGUACGACCGCAAGGUUGAAACUCAAAGGAAUUGACGGGGGCCCGCACAAGCGGUGGAGCAUGUGGUUUAAUU